UCCCUGGUGGUUCAAUGGUUAAGACUCUGCAUUCCAAUGCAGGGGGUGUGAGUUCAAUCCCUGCUCAGGGAG
This 72-nucleotide transfer RNA is filed under the name Capra hircus (goat). It matches the Rfam family "tRNA". Rfam says of the family: Transfer RNA (tRNA) molecules are approximately 80 nucleotides in length. Their secondary structure includes four short double-helical elements and three loops (D, anti-codon, and T loops). Lineage: Eukaryota; Metazoa; Chordata; Mammalia; Artiodactyla; Bovidae. The record is from Rfam by way of RNAcentral. RNAcentral also lists the same sequence under 1 other name.